GGUUGUGGCUCAGUGGUGGAGUGCUUGCCUAGCACGUGUGAGGCACUGGGUUCAAUUCUCAGCACCA
This 67-nucleotide transfer RNA is filed under the name Marmota monax (woodchuck). RNAcentral describes it as "tRNA.Ala". The record is from RNAcentral. Lineage: Eukaryota; Metazoa; Chordata; Mammalia; Rodentia; Sciuridae.